Molecule: ribosomal RNA, 467 nt
Filed under: uncultured bacterium
Lineage: Bacteria
Description: bacterial SSU rRNA
Rfam family: Bacterial small subunit ribosomal RNA
Source: RNAcentral
UGCCAGACUCCUACGGGAGGCAGCAGUGAGGAAUAUUGGUCAAUGGCCGAGAGGCUGAACCAGCCAAGUCGCGUGAGGGAAGACGGCCCUACGGGUUGUAAACCUCUUUUGUCGGGGAGCAAAGAGAGUCACGUGUGACUCAUUGAGAGUACCCGAAGAAAAAGCAUCGGCUAACUCCGUGCCAGCAGCCGCGGUAAUACGGAGGAUGCGAGCGUUAUCCGGAUUUAUUGGGUUUAAAGGGUGCGUAGGCGGAAUGCCAAGUCAGGGGUAAACUCGCGGGGCUCAACCUCGCUCCGCCGUUGAAACUGGCGUUCCUGAGUGAGCGAGAAGUAUGCGGAAUGCGUGGUGUAGCGGUGAAAUGCAUAGAUAUCACGCAGAACUCCGAUUGCGAAGGCAGCAUACCGGCGCUCAACUGACGCUCAUGCACGAAAGCGUGGGUAUCGAACAGGAUUAGAUACCCGAGUACU